GAUGAACGCUGGCGGCGUGCCUAAUACAUGCAAGUCGAGCGAACAGACGAGGAGCUUGCUCCUCUGACGUUAGCGGCGGACGGGUGAGUAACACGUGGAUAACCUACCUAUAAGACUGGGAUAACUUCGGGAAACCGGAGCUAAUACCGGAUAAUAUAUUGAACCGCAUGGUUCAAUAGUGAAAGACGGUUUUGCUGUCACUUAUAGAUGGAUCCGCGCCGCAUUAGCUAGUUGGUAAGGUAACGGCUUACCAAGGCAACGAUGCGUAGCCGACCUGAGAGGGUGGUCGGCCACACUGGAACGGAGACACGGUCCAGACGCCUACGGGAGGCAGCAGUAGGGAAUCUUCCGCAAUGGGCGAAAGCCUGACGGAGCAACGCCGCGUGAGUGAUGAAGGUCUUCGGAUCGUAAAACUCUGUUAUUAGGGAAGAACAAAUGUGUAAGUAACUAUGCACGUCUUGACGGUACCUAAUCAGAAAGCCACGGCUAACUACGUG
RNAcentral lists this ribosomal RNA (497 nucleotides) under uncultured bacterium. RNAcentral's name for it is "partial 16S ribosomal RNA". It matches the Rfam family "Bacterial small subunit ribosomal RNA", at positions 28 to 507 of the family's 1533-position model. The record is from RNAcentral.